UACGUAGGAUGCGAGCGUUGUCCGGAAUUACUGGGCGUAAAGCGCACGCAGGCGGUCUGUCAAGUCGGAUGUGAAAUCCCCGGGCUCAACCUGGGAACUGCAUUCGAAACUGGCAGGCUAGAGUCUUGUAGAGGGGGGUAGAAUUCCAGGUGUAGCGGUGAAAUGCGUAGAGAUCUGGAGGAAUACCGGUGGCGAAGGCGGCCCCCUGGACAAAGACUGACGCUCAGGUGCGAAAGCGUGGGGAGCAAACAGG
This 253-nucleotide ribosomal RNA is filed under the name uncultured bacterium. Its description in RNAcentral is "partial 16S ribosomal RNA". It matches the Rfam family "Bacterial small subunit ribosomal RNA", at positions 524 to 776 of the family's 1533-position model. The record is from RNAcentral.